GAGGAAUAUUGGUCAAUGGACGAGAGUCUGAACCAGCCAAGUAGCGUGAAGGAUGAAGGUUCUAUGGAUUGUAAACUUCUUUUAUACGGGAAUAAACGAAUCCACGCGUGGAUUUUUGCAUGUACCGUAUGAAUAAGGAUCGGCUAACUCCGUGCCAGCAGCCGCGGUAAUACGGAGGAUCCGAGCGUUAUCCGGAUUUAUUGGGUUUAAAGGGAGCGUAGAUGGGUUGUUAAGUCAGUUGUGAAAGUUUGCGGCUCAACCGUAAAAUUGCAAUUGAUACUGGCAGUCUUGAGUACAGUUGAGGUAGGCGGAAUUCGUGGUGUAGCGGUGAAAUGCUUAGAUAUCACGAAGAACUCCGAUUGCGAAGGCAGCUUACUAACCUGUAACUGACAUUGAUGCUCGAAAGUGUGGGUAUCAAACAGGAUUAGAUACCCUGGUAGUCCACACGGUAAACGAUGAAUACUCGCUGUAGGCGAUAUACAGUCUGCGGCCAAGCGAAAGCAUUAAGUAUUCCACCUGGGGAGUACGCCGGCAACGGUGAAACUCAAAGGAAUUGACGGGGGCCCGCACAAGCGGAGGAACAUGUGGUUUAAUUCGAUGAUACGCGAGGAACCUUACCCGGGCUUAAAUUGCAACCGAAUAUGGCGGAAACGCUAUAGCUAGCAAUAGCGGUUGUGAAGGUGCUGCAUGGUUGUCGUCAGCUCGUGCCGUGAGGUGUCGGCUUAAGUGCCAUAACGAGCGCAACCCUUGCCGAUAGUUACUAACAGGUUAUGCUGAGGACUCUGUCGGGACUGCCAUCGUAAGAUGUGAGGAAGGUGGGGAUGACGUCAAAUCAGCACGGCCCUUACGUCCGGGGCUACACACGUGUUACAAUGGGGGGUACAGAGGGCUGCUACCACGCAAGUGGAUGCCAAUCCCAAAAACCUCUCUCAGUUCGGAUUGAAGUCUGCAACCCGACUUCAUGAAGCUGGAUUCGCUAGUAAUCGCGCAUCAGCCACGGCGCGAUGAAUACGUUCCCG
Molecule: ribosomal RNA, 1019 nt
Filed under: uncultured organism
Description: bacterial SSU rRNA
Rfam family: Bacterial small subunit ribosomal RNA
Source: RNAcentral